UACGGAGGGUGCAAGCGUUAUCCGGAUUCACUGGGUUUAAAGGGUGCGUAGGUGGGCUUGUAAGUCAGUGGUGAAAUCUCCGGGCUUAACUCGGAAACUGCCAUUGAUACUAUAGGUCUUGAAUUAUCUGGAGGUCAGCGGAAUAUGUCAUGUAGCGGUGAAAUGCUUAGAUAUGACAUAGAACACCAAUUGCGAAGGCAGCUGGCUACAGGUUUAUUGACACUGAGGCACGAAAGCGUGGGGGAUCAAAACAGGG
Molecule: ribosomal RNA, 256 nt
Filed under: uncultured bacterium
Lineage: Bacteria
Description: partial 16S ribosomal RNA
Rfam family: Bacterial small subunit ribosomal RNA
Source: RNAcentral